RNAcentral lists this microRNA precursor (69 nucleotides) under Strongylocentrotus purpuratus (purple sea urchin). Its description in RNAcentral is "Spu-Mir-22-P2_pre stem-loop". Lineage: Eukaryota; Metazoa; Echinodermata; Echinoidea; Camarodonta; Strongylocentrotidae. The record is from RNAcentral.
ACGCUUCAUCUGCAUGCUGAUAUGUAAAUGUUGAGAUUCAAUGACUAUCAGCUGCCCGGUGAAGUGUAU